AAUUAUUUAUUUAAAGUAUAAAAUAAUUAUUUAUUUUAAAAAUAAUUAUUUAUUUAAAGUAUAAAAUAAUUA
This 72-nucleotide transfer RNA is filed under the name Clausena excavata. RNAcentral describes it as "tRNA-Asn". The record is from RNAcentral. Lineage: Eukaryota; Viridiplantae; Streptophyta; Magnoliopsida; Sapindales; Rutaceae.